CCAAUAGCGUAUAUUAAAGUUGUUGCAGUUAAAAAGCUCGUAGUUGAAUUUCGGGAUCGAAUUGUCGGUCGUGCUUCGGUACGCACUGGCAUUAUCGGUUUCUACCUUCUGAAGAACCGCGAUGUCAUUAAUUUGGUGUCGUGGGGAAUCAGGACUGUUACUUUGAAAAAAUUAGAGUGUUUAAAGCAGGCUUACGCUUGAAUACAUUAGCAUGGAAUAAUGUAAUAGGACGUUUGAUUCUAUUUUGUUGGUUUCUAGGAUCGACGUAAUGAUUAAUAGGGAUAGUUGGGGGCAUUAGCAUUCAAUUGUCAGAGGUGAAAUUCUUGGAUUUAUUGAAGACUAACUACUGCGAAAGCAUUUGCCAAGGAUGUUUUCAUUAAUCAAGAACGAAAGUUAGGGGAUCGAAGACGAUCAGAUACCGUCGUAGUCUUAACCAUAAACUAUGCUGACUAGGGAUCGGAUGAUGUUAAUUUUAUAAUGACUCAUUCGGCGCCUUACG
Molecule: ribosomal RNA, 499 nt
Filed under: uncultured Glomeromycotina
Lineage: Eukaryota; Fungi; Glomeromycota
Description: partial small subunit ribosomal RNA
Rfam family: Eukaryotic small subunit ribosomal RNA
Source: RNAcentral